ACUGCUCAGUAACACGUGGACAACCUGCCCAAAGGUCCGGGAUAACCCCGGGAAACUGGGGAUAAUACCGGAUAAAUCACGAGUACUGGAAGGUUUUGUGGUUGAAACUUCCGGGGCCUUUGGAUGGGUCUGCGGCGGAUUAGGUUGUUGCCGGUGUAACGUACCGUCAUGCCUGUAAUCCGUACGGGUUGUGGGAGCAAGAGCCCGGAGAUGGAUUCUGAGACACGAAUCCAGGCCCUACGGGGCGCAGCAGGCGCGAAAACUCUACAAUGCAGGCAACUGCGAUAGGGGAACAUCGAGUGAUACUCAUUUUGGGUGUCUGUCCCACCGUCUAAAAAACGGUGGUUAGCAAGGGCCGGGCAAGACCGGUGCCAGCCGCCGCGGUAAUACCGGCGGCUCGAGUGGUGGCCGAUAUUAUUGAGUCUAAAGGGUCCGUAGCCGGCUUUGCAAGUCUUUUGGGAAAUCCAGCGGCGUAACCGUUGGUCGUCCGGGAGAUACUACAUUGCUUGGGACUGGGAGAGGUAAGAGGUACUCAGGGGGUAGGAGUGAAAUCCUGUAAUCCUUUGGGGACCACCGGUGGCGAAGGCGUCUUACCAGAACAGGUCCGACGGUGAGGGACGAAAGCUAGGGGCACGAACCGGAUUAGAUACCCGGGUAGUCCUAGCCGUAAACGAUGCUCGCUAGGUGUCACAACAAUCGUGAAUUGUUGUGGUGCCGUAGGGAAGCCGUGAAGCGAGCCACUUGGGAAGUACGACCGCAAGGUUGAAACUUAAAGGAAUUGGCGGGGGAGCACA
This 794-nucleotide ribosomal RNA is filed under the name uncultured archaeon. Its description in RNAcentral is "bacterial SSU rRNA". It matches the Rfam family "Archaeal small subunit ribosomal RNA", at positions 85 to 880 of the family's 1478-position model. The record is from RNAcentral.